GACGAACGCUGGCGGCGUGCUUAACACAUGCCAGUCGAACGGAAAGGCCAUGCUUUUGUGGGGUUCUCGAGUGGCGCACGGGUGAGUAACACGUGAGUAACCUGCCCUUGUCUUUGGGAUAACUUCAGGAAACUGGGGCUAAUACCGGAUAGGAGCUCCUGCUGCAUGGGGGGGGUUGGAAAGUUACGGCGGUUGGGGAUGGACUAGCGGCUUAUGGGCUUGUUGGUGGGGUAGUGGAGUACCAAGGCUUUGACGGGUAGCCGGCAUGAGAGGGGGACCGGCGACAAUGGUACUGAGAGACGGAGCAGACGGGAACGGGAGGCAGCAGUGGGGAAUAUUGCACAGUGAGCGGAAGCGUGAUGCAGCGACCCCGCGAUCGGGAAGACGGCCUACGAGUUGUGAACCGAUUUCGACGUAAACGAAGAGUGAGUGACGGUAACGGGUAAAGAAGCAACGGCUAACUACGUG
RNAcentral lists this ribosomal RNA (468 nucleotides) under uncultured bacterium. Its description in RNAcentral is "partial 16S ribosomal RNA". It matches the Rfam family "Bacterial small subunit ribosomal RNA", at positions 28 to 507 of the family's 1533-position model. The record is from RNAcentral.